UUUCUUUCUUUUUUUUUUUUCUUUUUCCUUUGGUAGUUUUAAUUGGUACUUUGGGCCAGAAGGCGGGGCCUCACUGAGAAAGGAAACUGGCUGAGACACUCUCUGCGUAGGAUCAUCAUGCCGAGCAUAAACUGGACUUUCCCACUUGCCUGGCAGGAGUGAGACAGAUCACUGUGUGCUAAAUGAGCAUCUGAGAGCUCCUGGGCUGUCAUGUAUGAACAACCAAGCGAAUGGAGUGGAGGCAGAGGAGUUAAUGACCAUGGAGGCAUUUAUGGCUAAUAGGGAAUAUACCAGAUGUCCUUGGUGUGUGCAUCCCUGUGGAAUCUGGUUCAUCUCCAAUCUGUCAGAAAGCAUCAGAGGUGGUUUUGAGUCCUUAUGUCCUGAGCCUGUGGACAAAAUGUACCUUGUGUGGAGGAAAAUGAGAUCCCGAGUGAAGUCUACAAUGUCAUUGACUCUGAAGAAGGACUCAGAGACCCAUUGGUGUUUAAUGACCCUUACUGGCCUAUGCAAUGGGAACUGGCUCAGCUAUAUAUGAUCACAGGCCCAUCCCCUAAAACUUAUAUGGAAACUUGAAUGAUGUCAGCUUCUAAAGGACACUGUAUGAAGGACUGGAUUGCCAGUGGUGAGUGUUGGAUUAUAGAGAUGGGAGAUGGGCAGAUUUGGAGUCUGAACUGAGCCUUCUACUCAUUAGCUAGUUGGCCAUGGGUAAACUUAUUAAUGCCUAUGUGCUUUAGUUUAUUUACCUAUGAAAUCAUGACAAAAGUAUUUUUCAGAAGUGAUUGUAAAAGUUAAAUAAUGUAUUUGAAGCACUUAGCCAUCCACAGUAAACAUUCAAUAAAUGUAUAUGUUUGUAUUAUUGAGUGUAACUUUUUAUUAGGCUGCAUAUUACACAAUAGUUAUCACAGUACAGCUACCCUUUGGUUUUCAAAAGCAGUCUAAAACAGAUGUUUGAAAAUGAAAUUGAAAUCACUUCUGUCUCAGCUAACAUGAUUAUUCUGUAAGCAGUUAAGUUUUAAAACUCAUACUUUGGACAUUAUUAAUAUUAGCAACAUGGUCCGCAAAUGUUUCAGUGCCUUAGUGAAGCCAGUGGCUGUUUUGUCUUUUUUUUUUUUUUUCCCUUUUGUCAGAUGCUCCUGUUGAAAACAUCUUAAUCGAUAGUGAAUUUUAAAAAAUUAAGUAGCGUUUUUGCCCAUAAUUUAUCGUAGAUGAAUAAAGUCAAAUCUCCUAGACAGAAGUGAUAGAGAUUUGAGGUUGAAUUCCAACUCUUCCACUUGUUUGGCCCUAGGCAAAUGCUUACCUGGACUGAAGCACAGUUGCACCAGCUGUAAAAAUGAAAAAAUACACUAUACCUUGCAGGGUUGUGACUAUUAAUAAUGAUAUAUGCAAAGAGCCUGGAAUAAGGCCUGGGACUUAGUAGGCACAUAAUAAAUGGUAGCUAUUAAUGUUGUUAAUAUUUCUUUUUCAAUCUAUGUGUAAUUCUUUAGUAAUAAUGCUAAUCUAUCACUCAUAACUCAUAUGGUAUAUCUAUAUUUUAUAAUUUAAAUGUAUUAUCCUAGAGUCAAUGAAUUUGGUUAUAGUACCUAUACACUAUUUGAAGAACAACUUUAUUUCUAAAAUUCCCUGUUUUGUAGACUAGUAUUCAGAGUUCCUUGUGUUUAA
RNAcentral lists this long non-coding RNA (1659 nucleotides) under Sus scrofa (pig). RNAcentral's name for it is "lncRNA (ENSSSCG00005026991.1)". The record is from RNAcentral. Lineage: Eukaryota; Metazoa; Chordata; Mammalia; Artiodactyla; Suidae.